This is a long non-coding RNA of Mauremys reevesii (Reeves's turtle), 1715 nucleotides long. RefSeq lists it as uncharacterized. The transcript has 4 exons. NCBI's taxonomy places the organism in Eukaryota, Metazoa, Chordata, Testudines, Geoemydidae. The record is from RefSeq and is a predicted model, not a curated record.
UGGAAUAAACAGCAAGAGCCGAUGAGCUCUGAAGAAAUAAAGGCCAAGAGGUUCAAACCUGGGUGCCUAAAACCGCCUCCUAAAUCCAUGUCUAGUCACCUGACAGGAAGUGGCCUGAUUUUCAAAGAUUCCCAGCACCUGUAGUUCCCAGAGGGAGUUGGAGCUGUUCAGCACCUCUGCUAAAGGGAAGCGAGGCCUAUCAAGAUUAAACAGGCCAUCAGGAUACAAAGGAUUGGUGAAUGGCCCCAUCACACCUUGGAAAUUCUACAUGCAAAGAAGCUCAUCUCAUAGCUAUGUCUACACUGGAAACGGCCAGAGAUGCGCUAAAUUAAGGCAGAGAUCCCCAGGGGUUACCCCUGGGUCCACCCUGAAAGACAUUUUGAAUUGACAGAUUACUACAUCUGUCAUCUUUAGGAGCCAUAGAUGGUAAUGCAUUUGUGUGUAUAUGCUUGCUUGCUUUAACCUGUAAAUAACUGUCUCAUUUCUUUUCCCUAGUUAAUAAACCUUUAAUUAACUUAUUAGAGGGUUGGCUACAGGCAUUGUCUUUGGUGUGAGAACUAAGAUACAAGUUGAUCUGGGGCAAGCGACUGGUCUCUUGGAACUGGGAGAAACCUGAAUAUUUUGUGAUUCUUGGUGUAAGUGACCAUUUAUCAGUUAGUCCAUCUUGCCUGGGUGGCAAGGUAGCCUGGAGAGCAUAAAGGGACUCUCUAACUCUGAGGUAAGACCGUUACAGUGAUCCAGGAGUUCACAUUUGUUCCUGGGCUGGUGAAAUUCAAUUACAGAACAUACCGCUAGCUUGGGGUGUCUGCCCUGGUUUUACCUGUCAGCCCUGAGGUCGGCACUCCUGCUCGUGAGCCACUCCAGGCAGCGUGACAAGAUUUGCACCUGAAAGAUGCCUAAAGCUAAGGCCCCAUGACCCAAAGAAGCCUCUUUUCUUUACACCCUGGAGUCUGGCAGGACAAAGCCUCAGACUCUGGCCUGCACAAUUUUGGCAGUAAAACACUUGUACCUGAAAUCGAGGCAGCGACAGCCCAGAACAUAGAUAUUUCACAAAUGACUGGAUACUUGGACAGGACGUUUUGGAGCUGAGAGAUAGAAACAGCCUCAUUAAAAAUCCAGAGUUAAUGGUGUUCCUCCAGCUAGAUGCUUGCUAGGGAUGGGUAGGUUCCAACACUUCACUGCAGCAUCUUCCUACACCAGCUCCAGGGCUGGCCAUAGCUAUGAAAGACCCUGAGAAAAGUGAGACUGAACCAGUGGCUGUCGCCAUCCCAUCAUUUACCCAGAAUAACCCGGGCUGCCUUCAUCUCACUGCCUCUGAGCUGCAGUGAGUCCCACCAUGGAUGCCUGAUUAUGGGUGAGGAAAAGAAACAGGGUGGAGCCCAAUGAUUCUCUCUGGUUUGUUAAGUCCUCUUAGGUUCCUGAAGAUGAUAUUUCCCACAUUCAUUUUAGCCUUUUCUUUUCCCUUUGAUGGGUGGUAACAUUCCUCUCUAUAUUUCUGAUGGAUUUGAAACCAACUUUUCUCGCCCUCUCUGUGGUAUUGGAGAUAGCACCAGCCCUUGUGCACACUGCUCUGCUACCAAGAUCUUAUUUUCCUGAGCGUCUUCCAAUGUGUUGACUCUGAGCGCCGUUGCUGCUGCUACACGGAUAAGGAGAACAAGUCACUGCCCCGGGGGAGCAUGUUACACAGAGACUCUUACCAGCUGCUGCAUCUGCUG